GAAAUGGUAGUACUUAAGUAUGCAUAGUUUCGGCCUAUGUGGUGGACUCUUGUGUCCUCAUUUC
RNAcentral lists this transfer RNA (64 nucleotides) under Bankia gouldi. Its description in RNAcentral is "tRNA-Arg". The record is from RNAcentral. Lineage: Eukaryota; Metazoa; Mollusca; Bivalvia; Myida; Teredinidae.